GAUGAAGAACGCAGCGAAAUGCGAUAAGUAAUGUGAAUUGCAGAAUUCAGUGAAUCAUCGAAUCUUUGAACGCACAUUGCGCCCCUUGGUAUUCCGAGGGGCAUGCCUGUUCGAGCGUCAUUAUAACCCCUCAAGCUCAGCUUGGUGUUGGGGCCUGCUGCACUGGCAGCCCUUAAAAUCAGUGGCGGCGCCAUCUGGCUCUAAGCGUAGUAAUUCUUCUCGCUAUGGAGUCCUGGUGGAUGCUUGCCAUCAACCCCCAAUUUUUCUAUGGUUGACCUCGGAUCAGGUAGGGAUACCCGCUGAACUUAAGCAUAUCAAUACGCGGAGGA
This 329-nucleotide unclassified non-coding RNA is filed under the name soil metagenome. RNAcentral describes it as "partial contains 5.8S ribosomal RNA, internal transcribed spacer 2, and large subunit ribosomal RNA". The stretch from base 1 to 120 matches the Rfam family "5.8S ribosomal RNA", at positions 35 to 154 of the family's 154-position model. The record is from RNAcentral.